This is a long non-coding RNA of Stylophora pistillata, 1138 nucleotides long. NCBI's taxonomy places the organism in Eukaryota, Metazoa, Cnidaria, Anthozoa, Scleractinia, Pocilloporidae. The record is from RefSeq and is a predicted model, not a curated record.
CUUCAAGGAAAUUAUUCCAACCGAAGGUUUGGGAGUACUAUGAUUCACCUUCGAGCUUUACCUUUAAUUUCAGCUAUAUAGAAGACGGCAACCAAACAUAACUUUCUUGGAUGUUUCAUCGUGUUUCUCAGUUUCCAAAAUGAUCCACUGAUGCCAACAAGAGAGAUAUUCCAGAAAACAACUGAAGGAACUACGAAAAAGAAAGCCGCCUACGAUCAGUUGGGUGUUGCCCUUCACUUCGUAUCCACUACUUCAUCUAACUUCGUUUUUCCAAAAGAAAUGACCAAGUUCGCGGUUACUGCUUCCAUUAUCAACAAAAUAGGGAUAUAGCUUUAACACUCAGUAUGAAUUUAACGUUGAAAGUGAAACUUUACUGACUUAAAUUGCCACUCAUUCAUAGUUUCCACGCGAUCUUAAACAAUGGCCUUCGAAAACCAUCUUUGAGAUCGAGAUCUCAAAUACACAAUCGGCUCAGGGACUUGUACAAGCAAAAGAUGUGACCUGAUUACCCAAUUUGUUAAAGGAGUAGGUGGAGAGUGUUGGUUGAAAUGGAUUAUCGCCGGUUGCUUUUCUAGGUUGCAAAACGUGGAGGAAAGACAAGUCAUGAAAGGUUAGAGAAAAGAACUUGGGCCACAUUGGUUAGAGAAGAACGUAUUCUCUCUCAUACUGAUAGAAACUAUGAUGUUUCACAACAAACAAAUUAAACGACAUUGACUAAAAAAGGAACGUGUCAUGUGCAACACUUUAAUUUAUUGCAAGAGGCGUCUUCAUUUUCUCGCCGCCAUGUUGCCGUCAGAAAGAUUAUUCGAGAAGCCACUCAUAGGCUGUUCGAAUUCUUGUUCCCAGUCUCAGAAAUGUCCCACUUCUUUCGCUUCGCCUGGCGUUCGCGCCUUUCAUUUCUUAUUUCGUCCUUGCCCGAUUGCCGGCUGAGGAUGGAGCAGAGAGCACAACGCCGAUAAUUCAUUUCUAAGGUUCUUGGUCAUAUUUUCAAUGGCAUCUUCGCCAUCAUCGGUUAGUGUCUCAGCGAUUCCUGAGAUCCUUUCAAACGUGCAGAACCAGAAUUGAAGAUGAUAAAAAGAUGAAGAUAGAAGCUUAGCAUAGACUAUUAGAAUUAGAGAAUUGAUACUAGGCGAGUGGG